AGUGAACGCUGGCGGCGUGCCUAAUACAUGCAAGUCGAACGGAGAUUAAGUAGCUUGCUAUUUAAUCUUAGUGGCGCACGGGUGAGUAAUAUAUAGCUAAUCUGCCCUACACUAGAGGACAACAGUUAGAAACGACUGCUAAUACUCUAUACUCCUUCUAAGCAUAAGCUUAGUCGGGAAAGUUUUUCGGUGUAGGAUGAGGCUAUAUCGUAUCAGCUAGUUGGUAGGGUAACGGCUUACCAAGGCUAUGACGCGUAACUGGUCUGAGAGGAUGAUCAGUCACACUGGAACUGAGACACGGUCCAGACUCCUACGGGAGGCAGCAGUAGGGAAUAUUGCUCAAUGGGGGAAACCCUGAAGCAGCAACGCCGCGUGGAGGAUGACACUUUUCGGAGCGUAAACUCCUUUUCUUGGGAAAGAAU
Molecule: ribosomal RNA, 422 nt
Filed under: Campylobacter sp. oral taxon G43
Lineage: Bacteria; Pseudomonadati; Campylobacterota; Epsilonproteobacteria; Campylobacterales; Campylobacteraceae
Description: bacterial SSU rRNA
Rfam family: Bacterial small subunit ribosomal RNA
Source: RNAcentral